Molecule: ribosomal RNA, 496 nt
Filed under: uncultured bacterium
Lineage: Bacteria
Description: partial 16S ribosomal RNA
Rfam family: Bacterial small subunit ribosomal RNA
Source: RNAcentral
AUGAACGCUGGCGGCGUGCCUCAUACAUGCAAGUCGAGCGAACAGACGAGGAGCUUGCUCCUCUGACGUUAGCGGCGGACGGGUGAGUAACACGUGGAUAACCUACCUAUAAGACUGGGAUAACUUCGGGAAACCGGAGCUAAUACCGGAUAAUAUAUUGAACCGCAUGGUUCAAUAGUGAAAGACGGUUUUGCUGUCACUUAUAGAUGGAUCCGCGCCGCAUUAGCUAGUUGGUAAGGUAACGGCUUACCAAGGCAACGAUGCGUAGCCGACCUGAGAGGGUGAUCGGCCACACUGGAACUGAGACACGGUCCAGACUCCUACGGGAGGCAGCAGUAGGGAAUCUUCCGUAAUGGGCGAAAGCCUGACGGAGCAACGCCGCGUGAGUGAUGAAGGUCUUCGGAUCGUAAAACUCUGUUAUUAGGGAAGAACAAAUGUGUAAGUAACUAUGCACGUCUUGACGGUACCUAAUCAGAAAGCCACGGCUAACUACGUG